This 253-nucleotide ribosomal RNA is filed under the name uncultured bacterium. Its description in RNAcentral is "partial 16S ribosomal RNA". It matches the Rfam family "Bacterial small subunit ribosomal RNA", at positions 524 to 776 of the family's 1533-position model. The record is from RNAcentral.
UACGUAGGGGGCAAGCGUUGUCCGGAUUUAUUGGGCGUAAAGAGCGUGUAGGCGGCCAGGCAGGUCCGCUGUGAAAACUCGAGGCUUAACCUCGAGACGUCGGUGGAAACCGUUUGGCUAGAGUCCGGAAGAGGAGAGUGGAAUUCCACGUGUAGCAGUGAAAUGCGUAGAUAUGUGGAGGAACACCGAUGGCGAAGGCAGCCCCCUGGGUCAAAACUGACGCUCAUGCACGAAAGCGUGGGGAGCAAACAGG